This is a long non-coding RNA of Neofelis nebulosa (Clouded leopard), 520 nucleotides long. RefSeq lists it as uncharacterized. The record is from RefSeq and is a predicted model, not a curated record. NCBI's taxonomy places the organism in Eukaryota, Metazoa, Chordata, Mammalia, Carnivora, Felidae. The transcript is spliced from 3 exons.
UUACCUCUGGGGCUACAGCAGUGCAGUGAGCUUUAGUGGAUCAAUACUUUAGUCUUGUCAUGCUAAUUGCUCAUUGGUUGACAUUCAUGAUCCUUCCUUGCUCCCUCCCUAUGUAAACUCUUUACAGCUGGAACAGCGAGAUGCAAAAAUCCUGAACCUUCAAAGCCAGCUCCUGCAGAAGAGAGAGGGCCUGGCAGCUGAGCUGGAUGCUUCAGGAGCAGAGGAUCUAUCAACUGCAGACCAAGCAUAGGGAGACGCAGGCAGACCUGGAACAGAAACCCAGCCAGCGCCAGCCGCUCCAACAGUACUUGGUGGCCAGAGAGUCGGCAGCAGGAAGCAUGAGGCAGGAAAUGACCCAAUCCUUGAGGUCUGCUUAUAGAUAAAGAAAACAAAGAUCCAGCUGGGACAGACUCAAAUGGAUGCACCUACUUUCAUGCCCAGGCUUUCAGAGGAGGUAAAACACAUACCUAAUCCUUCCAAUAGAUUCCAGAAAGAAUGUGGAUGACACUUCUCUUGAUCU